Molecule: ribosomal RNA, 514 nt
Filed under: uncultured bacterium
Lineage: Bacteria
Description: partial 16S ribosomal RNA
Rfam family: Bacterial small subunit ribosomal RNA
Source: RNAcentral
GAUGAACGCUGGCGGCGUGCCUAAUACAUGCAAGUCGAGCGAACUGAUUAGAAGCUUGCUCCUAUGACGUUAGCGGCGGACGGGUGAGUAACACGUGGGCAACCUGCCUGUAAGACUGGGAUAACUUCGGGAAACCGAAGCUAAUACCGGAUAGGAUCUUCUCCUUCAUGGGAGAUGAUUGAAAGAUGGUUUCGGCUAUCACUUACAGAUGGGCCCGCGGUGCAUUAGCUAGUUGGUGAGGUAACGGCUCACCAAGGCAACGAUGCAUAGCCGACCUGGGAGGGUGAUCGGCCACACGGGGACUGGGACACGGCCCAGACUCCUACGGGAGGCAGCAGUAGGGAAUCUUCCGCAAUGGACGAAAGUCUGACGGAGCAACGCCGCGUGAGUGAUGAAGGCUUUCGGGUCGUAAAACUCUGUUGUUAGGGAAGAACAAGUACAAGAGUAACUGCUUGUACCUUGACGGUACCUAACCAGAAAGCCACGGCUAACUACGUGCCAGCCGCCGCAGUAA